Molecule: non-coding RNA, 25 nt
Filed under: Rattus norvegicus (Norway rat)
Lineage: Eukaryota; Metazoa; Chordata; Mammalia; Rodentia; Muridae
Source: RNAcentral
UAAUGAAAUGCUCUACUUUCUUAUU